AUUAGGGUUUGAUCCUGGCUCAGAAUCAACGCUGGCGGCGCGCUUAACACAUGCAAGUCGAACGAGAAAGCCCGCAAGGGUGAGUAAAGUGGCGUACGGGUGAGUAACACGUGGGUAAUCUACCUUUUGGUGGGGAAUAACCCUGGGAAACCGGGGCUAAUACCGCAUAAGCUCGAAAGAGGAAAGGAGCAAUUCGCCGAAAGAGGAGCCCGCGGCUGAUUAGCUAGUUGGUGAGGUAAAGGCUCACCAAGGCAAUGAUCGGUAGCCGGCCUGAGAGGGCACACGGCCACACUGGCACUGAAACACGGGCCAGACUCCUACGGGAGGCAGCAGUGGGGAAUCUUGCACAAUGGGGGAAACCCUGAUGCAGCGACGCCGCGUGAGCGAUGAAGCCCUUCGGGGUGUAAAGCUCUUUCGGCAGGGACGAUAAUGACGGUACCUGAAGAAGAAGCUGCGGCUAACUACGUGCCAGCAGCCGCGGUAAUACGUAGGCAGCGAGCGUUGUUCGGAGUUACUGGGCGUAAAGAGUGCGUAGGCGGUUUUCUAAGUUUGGUGUGAAAUCUCCCGGCUUAACUGGGAGGGUGCGCCGAAGACUGGAAGGCUUGAGUAUGGGAGAGGUAAGCGGAAUUCCUGGUGUAGCGGUGAAAUGCGUAGAUAUCAGGAGGAACACCUGCGGUGUAGACGGCUUACUGGACCAUAACUGACGCUGAUGCACGAAAGCGUGGGUAGCAAACAGGAUUAGAUACCCUGGUAGUCCACGCCCUAAACGAUGCAUACUUG
Molecule: ribosomal RNA, 780 nt
Filed under: uncultured bacterium
Lineage: Bacteria
Description: bacterial SSU rRNA
Rfam family: Bacterial small subunit ribosomal RNA
Source: RNAcentral